Molecule: transfer RNA, 67 nt
Filed under: Bathymodiolus brooksi
Lineage: Eukaryota; Metazoa; Mollusca; Bivalvia; Mytilida; Modiolidae
Description: tRNA-Gln
Source: RNAcentral
UAUAAAGUAGUAUUUAAGUACGAUGGGUUUUGAUCCUAUAAGAGCGAACUAAUUAGCGCCUUUAUAU